AAGAAAGAGAAAAUAUUACUGGAGAAAACCAUGCCAAGCCUGAGAAUGUUGAGUACCCGAGGCCAAGCUCAACAAGGCCAGGGAACUUUCCGGUUGGGGAUCCUAUGGAGAGUCUGACUCUGGAACUGGUGCUACAGACAGACGUUGUUAAAGCUGGUCAAUCCAAGUUUCUGCAGCCUCUGUGGAGGGGAACAUGACGGCUGACAGCCUCUACUAACAGGUUGGGGCUCCCUCCUGCUGCUCCUGCCUUCCCAGCCACCAGCUCAUUGGAGCAAGACCAGGAUUAAGUGGACCUACAAGGAUCUGCACAUUUGGUCCCAGUACCCUCCCAGUUCACCCCAUAUCCCACCCACGUGGACUCCUCAUCCUCAUUUUUGUACUGCCAACCUUUGCCUGGGACAAGGCUUCUUUCUGACCCUGCUUGCCUAGAAAAGCCCAAUCAUCCUUCAAGAACCAGCUCAAAGUUCACCUCCUCUGUGAAGGCUCCCCUGAAAUAGGAGUUACUCAUCCCCACAUGCUGAUUGAAUACUGUCAGUGCCCUUCAGCCAAAGACCACCAGGAACACACCAACAAUGAGACAAGUGAAUUGCUAGUCACUACAUCAGACCAGUGGCCUCCUCCAACAUAGGCGGCUGAGAGAAAUCGCCUGCAUUAGGUACCCUCUCCAAAAUGGCUCAUCAAGCACAGCGAAUGACAAGACUGGAGAGAGGAGGUGGGAAACCUAUCCCCGGAUGGCACAGCUGAGACAGAGGUAGGAAGAAGGGGAUCCGGCUCAUUUAUUUCCCUUUCAUUAGGCCCCUGAAAAAAAUAAAGACUGAGGAUUUAA
Molecule: long non-coding RNA, 826 nt
Organism: Herpailurus yagouaroundi (jaguarundi)
Lineage: Eukaryota; Metazoa; Chordata; Mammalia; Carnivora; Felidae
Exons: 6
Source: RefSeq, a predicted model, not a curated record